UACAGAGGGGGCAAGCGUUAUUCGGAAUUAUUGGGCGUAAAGGGCGCGUAGGCGGCUUGGCGAGUGGAUGGUGAAAUCCCUCGGCUUAACCGAGGAACUGCCGUCCAAACUGCUUUGCUUGAGACCGGGAGAGGUGAGUGGAAUUCCCAGUGUAGCGGUGAAAUGCGUAGAUAUUGGGAGGAACACCAGUGGCGAAGGCGGCUCACUGGACCGGUACUGACGCUGAUGCGCGAAAGCGUGGGGAGCAAACAGG
RNAcentral lists this ribosomal RNA (253 nucleotides) under uncultured bacterium. RNAcentral's name for it is "partial 16S ribosomal RNA". It matches the Rfam family "Bacterial small subunit ribosomal RNA", at positions 524 to 776 of the family's 1533-position model. The record is from RNAcentral.